GUCCGCAUAGCUCAGUUGGCAGAGCAUUGGGCUGGUAUCCCAAAGGUCGUAGGUUCGUUUCCCACUGUGGGCA
This 73-nucleotide transfer RNA is filed under the name Paramuricea clavata. It matches the Rfam family "tRNA". From Rfam's summary of the family: Transfer RNA (tRNA) molecules are approximately 80 nucleotides in length. The record is from Rfam by way of RNAcentral. Lineage: Eukaryota; Metazoa; Cnidaria; Anthozoa; Malacalcyonacea; Plexauridae.